This 253-nucleotide ribosomal RNA is filed under the name uncultured bacterium. RNAcentral's name for it is "partial 16S ribosomal RNA". It matches the Rfam family "Bacterial small subunit ribosomal RNA", at positions 524 to 776 of the family's 1533-position model. The record is from RNAcentral.
UACGGAGGGAGCUAGCGUUGUUCGGAAAUACUGGGCGUAAAGCGCACGUAGGCGGCGCAGCAAGUCAGGGGUGAAAUCCCGGGGCUCAACCCCGGAACUGCCCUUGAAACUGCAGUGCUAGAAUCUUGGAGAGUCGAGUGGAAUUCCGAGUGUAGAGGUGAAAUUCGUAGAUAUUCGGAAGAACACCAGUGGCGAAGGCGACUCGCUGGACAAGUAUUGACGCUGAGGUGCGAAAGCGUGGGGAGCAAACAGG